GUAUUUGCAUGCGCGUUGCGUGCAUGCGACGCUGCGUGGAGGAUGAAGGCUUUCGAGUCGUAAACUCCUGUCAUUCGGGAACAAAUUCAGUCGGUUAAUAACCGGCUGGCUUGAGGGUACCGGAAGAGGAAGCCACGGCUAACUCUGUGCCAGCAGCCGCGGUAAUACAGAGGUGGCUAGCGUUGUUCGGAUUUACUGGGCGUAAAGGGUGCGUAGGCGGUAACGUGUGUCGGAUGUGAAAUCCCAUGGCUCAACCAUGGAAUGGCAUCCGAAACUGCGAUACUUGAGUACAGGAGGGGAGAGCGGAAUUCUUGGUGUAGCGGUGAAAUGCGUUGAUAUCAAGAGGAACACCGGUGGCGAAGGCGGCUCUCUGGAAUGUUACUGACGCUGAGGCACGAAAGUCGGGGGAGCAAACAGGAUUAGAUACCCUGGUAGUCCCGACCAUAAACGUUGUGAACUUGGUGUGGGGGGAAUUGACCCCCUCCGUACCGGAGCUAACGCGUUAAGUUCACCGCCUGGGGAGUACGGCCGCAAGGCUAAAACUCAAAGAAAUUGACGGGGGCCCGCACAAGCGGAGGAGCAUGUGGCUUAAUUCGAUGCAACGCGAAGAACCUUACCAGGGCUUGACAUGCAGCUGCACGCUUACCGAAAGGUAGGAAGCUUUCGAAGGUGCUGCACAGGUGCUGCAUGGCUGUCGUCAGUUCGUGCCGUGAGGUGUUAGGUUAAGUCCUGCAACGAACGCAACCCUUGUGUUUAGUUGCCACCGCAGGUGAUGAGCCUGCGAGCACUCUAAACAGACUGCCUGUGUAAGCGGGAGGAAGGUGGGGAUGACGUCAAGUCAGUAUGGCCCUUACGCCCUGGGCUGCACACGUGCUACAAUGGCCCGGUACAAUGAGAUGCGAAACCGGGGAGGUGAAG
Molecule: ribosomal RNA, 918 nt
Filed under: uncultured bacterium
Lineage: Bacteria
Description: bacterial SSU rRNA
Rfam family: Bacterial small subunit ribosomal RNA
Source: RNAcentral